GAUGAACGCUAGCGGCAGGCUUAAUACAUGCAAGUCGAGGGGCAGCAUGGGGUGUAGCAAUACACUCUGAUGGCGACCGGCAAACGGGUGCGGAACACGUACACAACUUACCCUAGACUGGGGGAUAGCCUUCCGAAAGGGAGAUUAAUACCUCAUAGGAUCGUAGAGUGGCAUCACUUAGCGAUUAAAGCUCAGGCGGUUUAGGAUGGGUGUGCGGCUGAUUAGGUAGUUGGCGGGGUAACGGCCCACCAAGCCUGCGAUCAGUAACUGGUGUGAGAGCACGACCAGUCACACGGGCACUGAGACACGGGCCCGACUCCUACGGGAGGCAGCAGUAAGGAAUAUUGGUCAAUGGACNCAAGUCUGAACCAGCCAUGCCGCGUGAAGGAUGAA
Molecule: ribosomal RNA, 393 nt
Filed under: uncultured bacterium
Lineage: Bacteria
Description: bacterial SSU rRNA
Rfam family: Bacterial small subunit ribosomal RNA
Source: RNAcentral